GUUGUAUGGUUAAGUGAAUAAGCGUGCACGGUGGAUGCCUAGGCAAUUAGAGGCGAUGAAGGACGUGGUAAUCUGCGAUAAGUCCAGGGGAGUUGAUAACAAGCGUUAUAUCCUGGAAUUUCCGAAUGGGGCAACCCGGCACUUAGUGUCAUCGUUAUGUGAAUACAUAGCAUAGCGAAGCAAACGAGGGGAACUGAAACAUCUAAGUACCCUUAGGAAAAGAAAUCAACCGAGAUUCCGAAAGUAGCGGCGAGCGAAAUCGGAACAGCCCUUAAGCUGUUUAAAAGUUAGUGGAAGGCUCUGGAAAGUGCCACGGUACAGGGUGAUAGUCCCGUACACAAAAACUUCUUUAUAGUGAAAACGAGUAAGACGGGACACGAGAAAUCCUGUUUGAAUAUGGGGGGACCAUCCUCCAAGGCUAAAUACUCCUAAUUGACCGAUAGUGAACCAGUACCGUGAGGGAAAGGCGAAAAGAACCCCUGUGAGGGGAGUGAAAUAGAACCUGAAACCGUGUACGUACAAGCAGUAGGAGCCGACUUAGUUCGGUGACUGCGUACCUUUUGUAUAAUGGGUCAACGACUUAAUUUCAGUAGCAAGGUUAACCGUUUAGGGGAGCCGUAGGGAAACCGAGUCUUAACUGGGCGAAUAGUUGCUGGGAUUAGACCCGAAACUUGGUGAUCUAGCCAUGAGCAGGUUGAAGGUUGAGUAACAUCAACUGGAGGACCGAACCCACUAAUGUUGAAAAAUUAGGGGAUGACUUGUGGCUGGGGGUGAAAGGCCAAUCAAACCAAGAGAUAGCUGGUUCUCCUCGAAAGCUAUUUAGGUAGCGCCUCAUGUAUCACUGUUGGGGGUAGAGCACUGUUAAGGCUAGGGGGUCAUCCCGACUUACCAACCCUUUGCAAACUCCGAAUACCAACAAGUGCAAUCAUGGGAGACACACGGCGGGUGCUAACGUCCGUCGUGGAAAGGGAAACAACCCAGACCGCCAGCUAAGGUCCCAAAGUAUAUGUUAAGUGGGAAACGAUGUGGGAAGGCUUAGACAGCUAGGAAGUUGGCUUAGAAGCAGCCAUCUUUUAAAGAAAGCGUAAUAGCUCACUAGUCGAGUCGGCCUGCGCGGAAGAUUUAACGGGGCUAAACAUAUCACCGAAGCUGCGGACGCAUAUUUAUAUGCGUGGUAGAGGAGCGUUCUGUAAGCCGUCGAAGGGAAAGGUGUAAACCAUCCUGGAGGUAUCAGAAGUGCGAAUGUUGACAUGAGUAACGAUAAGGGGGGUGAAAAACCUCCCCGCCGGAAGACCAAGGGUUCCUGUCCAACGUUAAUCGGGGCAGGGUGAGUCGACCCCUAAGGCGAGGCCGAAAGGCGUAGUCGAUGGGAAACGGGUUAAUAUUCCCGUACCCUUUAUUAUUGCGAUGGGAGGACGGAGAAGGCUAGGUGGGCCUGGCGAUGGUUGUCCAGGUUCAAGUAUGUAGGUGGGAGACUUAGGUAAAUCCGGGUUUCUAUUAACACUGAGAUACGAUGUCGAGGUACUAAGGUACUGAAGUCAUUGAUGCCAUGCUUCCAGGAAAAGUCUCUAAGCUUCAGAUAAUAAAGGAUCGUACCCCAAACCGACACAGGUGGUCAGGUAGAGAAUACCAAGGCGCUUGAGAGAACUCGGGUAAAGGAACUAGGCAAAAUGGUACCGUAACUUCGGGAGAAGGUACGCCUUCGACGGUGAUGAGACUUGCUCUUUUAGCUGUUGGAGGCCGAAGAUACCAGAUGGCUGCAACUGUUUAUUAAAAACACAGCACUCUGCUAAAUCGUAAGAUGACGUAUAGGGUGUGACGCCUGCCCGGUGCCGGAAGGUUAAUUGAUGAGGUUAGACUUAGGUCGAAGCUUUUGAUCGAAGCCCCGGUAAACGGCGGCCGUAACUAUAACGGUCCUAAGGUAGCGAAAUUCCUUGUCGGGUAAGUUCCGACCUGCACGAAUGGCGUAAUGAUGGCCAUGCUGUCUCUACCCGAGACUCAGUGAAGUUGAAAUCGCAGUGAAGAUGCUGUGUACCCGCGGCUAGACGGAAAGACCCCGUGAACCUUUACUAUAGCUUAGCAGUGAACUUAGAGCCUACAUGUGUAGGAUAGGUGGGAGGCUUUGAAGCGUUGUCGCCAGAUGACGUGGAGCCAAUCUUGAAAUACCACCCUUGUAUGUUUUGAGUUCUAACCAUGGCCCCUGAAUCGGGGUUUGGGACACUGUUUGGUGGGUAGUUUGACUGGGGCGGUCUCCUCCUAAAGAGUAACGGAGGAGUACGAAGGUUGGCUAAUCACGGUCGGACAUCGUGAGGUUAGUACAAUGGUAUAAGCCAGCUUAACUGCGAGACAGACACGUCGAGCAGGUACGAAAGUAGGUCAUAGUGAUCCGGUGGUUCUGAAUGGAAGGGCCAUCGCUCAACGGAUAAAAGGUACUCCGGGGAUAACAGGCUGAUACCGCCCAAGAGUUCAUAUCGACGGCGGUGUUUGGCACCUCGAUGUCGGCUCAUCACAUCCUGGGGCUGAAGUCGGUCCCAAGGGUAUGGCUGUUCGCCAUUUAAAGUGGUACGCGAGCUGGGUUUAGAACGUCGUGAGACAGUUCGGUCCCUAUCUGCCGUGGGCGUUUGAGAAUUGAGAGGGGCUGCUCCUAGUACGAGAGGACCGGAGUGGACGAACCGCUGGUGUUCGGGUUGUAUCGCCAGAUGCAUUGCCCGGUAGCUACGUUCGGAAUCGAUAACCGCUGAAAGCAUCUAAGCGGGAAGCGAGCCUCAAGAUGAGUUCUCACUGGAACUUUAAGUUCCCUAAAGGGCCGUUGGAGACUACAACGUUGAUAGGCAAGGUGUGUAAGUGCAGUAAUGUAUUGAGCUAACUUGUACUAAUUACCCGUGAGGCUUAACCAUACAACACCUAAGUAGU
RNAcentral lists this ribosomal RNA (2913 nucleotides) under Psychromonas sp. SR45-3. RNAcentral's name for it is "23S ribosomal RNA". It matches the Rfam family "Bacterial large subunit ribosomal RNA". The record is from RNAcentral. Lineage: Bacteria; Pseudomonadati; Pseudomonadota; Gammaproteobacteria; Alteromonadales; Psychromonadaceae.